This 496-nucleotide ribosomal RNA is filed under the name uncultured bacterium. Its description in RNAcentral is "partial 16S ribosomal RNA". It matches the Rfam family "Bacterial small subunit ribosomal RNA", at positions 29 to 507 of the family's 1533-position model. The record is from RNAcentral.
AUGAACGCUGGCGGCGUGCCUAAUACAUGCAAGUCGAGCGAACGGACGAGAAGCUUGCUUCUCUGUUGUUAGCGGCGGACGGGUGAGUAACACGUGGAUAACCUACCUAUAAGACUGGGAUAACUUCGGGAAACCGUAGCUAAUACCGGAUAAUAUUUUGAACCGCAUGGUUCAAAAGUGAAAGACGGUCUUGCUGUCACUUAUAGAUGGAUCCGCGCUGCAUUAGCUAGUUGGUAAGGUAACGGCUUACCAAGGCAACGAUGCAUAGCCGACCUGAGAGGGGGAUCGGCCACACUGGAACUGAGACACGGUCCAGACUCCUACGGGAGGCAGCAGUAGGGAAUCUUCCGCAAUAGGCGAAAGCCUGACGGAGCAACGCCGCGUGAGUGAUGAAGGUCUUCGGAUCGUAAAACUCUGUUAUUAGGGAAGAACAUAUGUGUAAGUAACUGUGCACAUCUUGACGGUACCUAAUCAGAAAGCCACGGCUAACUACGUG